UACGUAGGGUGCAAGCGUUAAUCGGAAUUACUGGGCGUAAAGCGUGCGCAGGCGGCUUUGCAAGACAGAUGUGAAAUCCCCGGGCUUAACCUGGGAACUGCAUUUGUGACUGCAUGGCUGGAGUGCGGCAGAGGGGGAUGGAAUUCCAGGUGUAGCGGUGAAAUGCGUAGAUAUCUGGAGGAACACCGGUGGCGAAGGCGGCAUCCUGGACCGGCAUUGACGCUGAGGAGCGAAAGCCAGGGGAGCAAACGGG
RNAcentral lists this ribosomal RNA (253 nucleotides) under uncultured bacterium. RNAcentral's name for it is "partial 16S ribosomal RNA". It matches the Rfam family "Bacterial small subunit ribosomal RNA", at positions 524 to 776 of the family's 1533-position model. The record is from RNAcentral.